Molecule: long non-coding RNA, 1281 nt
Organism: Mustela erminea (ermine)
Lineage: Eukaryota; Metazoa; Chordata; Mammalia; Carnivora; Mustelidae
Exons: 3
Source: RefSeq, a predicted model, not a curated record
UAAAUAAAAUUAUUUUAAAAAAUAUGAUGUGGGUGAUAAUCAGUUUAGAACAUUAUCAUUAUUACACAUCAAUCAAAAGAAAAAAAUGUUUAAUGAUUUUUUGUGUGUGGCUUUUUAAAAAAUUCAUAACUUGAAUAACAUCUAACAACAGUAUUACUGAAAAUCUCCCAUCAGUAUAUACAUGGAUUGAAUUUCCACUAAAGUUCAAAAGCUUAAAAAGUAAUGAAGGAACCAAAUUUUUAAAAAGGAUCAAGAAUUUGAAAAAAAAAAAAUGAGCAAAGGAUUUGAAUAGAAAUUUCUCCACAGAGAUUGCAGACCUGACCAAUAAGCACAUGUGAAGAUGCUCGACUUCAUUAGUCCCUGGGGAAAUGCAAAUCAAUGUCACAUGAGUUACCACUUUAUACCCAAAAAUCAAACAGAAAGGCAGUAACAAGUUUUUUGGCAAAGAUGUGAAAAAAUUAGGACCCUAUAUUGCUGAUUAGAAUCUAAAGUAAUACAGCUGUUUUGGAAAAGAGAUGGACAGUAUAUACCCAAGAGAAAACAUGUUCACACAAAAACUUGUACGUAAGUAUUCACAGAAUUAUUCAUGGUAGCCAAAAAGUAGGAAAAGACAAAACUCCUUUAACUGGUGAAUACAUAAACAAAAUGUGGUAUAUCCAUUCAAUGAAUGUUAUUUAGCCAUAAAAAUUAAUCAAAUGCUGAUACAUGAUACAUCACAGAUGAACCUUAAAAGUAUUAUCCUAAAUGAGAGAAAUCUGAUACAAGUGGUGAGUUACUCUAUAAUUUCAUUUCUGUGAAAUAAUAGGCAUAACCAGAAUAGGCAUAACCAUAAAGACAGAAAAUAGAUGGAAAAUAAAAGAAAAACUACAUAAGAAUUUGGCUUUUCUGUUCACCUAGAAGAUAAAGGUUUCAUAGAGGGAGGACAAAGGAAGAUAUUAUAUCAAAAAUACCAUGGAGGUCUUUUAUACACAAAUUCAGUUCCUCAUUUAAGAACUUUUAAUUGCUGAAGAUCAGUAGAAUGUAAGGAUUACAGAGUCAAGAAGCUGAAUAUAAGCUUUAUUAUCUUCUUAGGAUAACCUAUCAAUGUGAGUAAUUCAAAGGAUUUGGCUUUAGCACAUUGCAGUAUUGAUGUGUAAUAUGCUUUUGAUCCUUUUGCUUCAGAGAUUUUUCUCUUCUUGCCAAUGCAGAGUAAUCUCUUCUCCUUACCUGAUACCUGUUUAUGCAAUGAUAUGAUAUUCUUGAUAGAGCAAUACUACAUCUUUAGCUUUGUCAGAACAAAAA